Molecule: ribosomal RNA, 402 nt
Filed under: uncultured Sphingomonadaceae bacterium
Lineage: Bacteria; Pseudomonadati; Pseudomonadota; Alphaproteobacteria; Sphingomonadales; Sphingomonadaceae
Description: bacterial SSU rRNA
Rfam family: Bacterial small subunit ribosomal RNA
Source: RNAcentral
AGUGGGGAAUAUUGGACAAUGGGCGCAAGCCUGAUCCAGCAAUGCCGCGUGAGUGAUGAAGGCCUUAGGGUUGUAAAGCUCUUUUACCAGGGAUGAUAAUGACAGUACCUGGAGAAUAAGCUCCGGCUAACUCCGUGCCAGCAGCCGCGGUAAUACGGAGGGAGCUAGCGUUGUUCGGAAUUACUGGGCGUAAAGCGCACGUAGGCGGCUAUUCAAGUCGGGGGUGAAAGCCCGGGGCUCAACCCCGGAACUGCCCUCGAAACUAGGUAGCUAGAAUCUUGGAGAGGUCAGUGGAAUUCCGAGUGUAGAGGUGAAAUUCGUAGAUAUUCGGAAGAACACCAGUGGCGAAGGCGACUGACUGGACAAGUAUUGACGCUGAGGUGCGAAAGCGUGGGGAGCAAA